RNAcentral lists this ribosomal RNA (426 nucleotides) under uncultured bacterium. RNAcentral describes it as "bacterial SSU rRNA". It matches the Rfam family "Bacterial small subunit ribosomal RNA", at positions 64 to 507 of the family's 1533-position model. The record is from RNAcentral.
GAACGAGAAAGGGGAGCAAUCCCUGAGUAAAGUGGCGACCGGGUGAGUAACACGUGACUAACCUGCCCUUGAGUGGGGGAUAACCUCGGGAAACCGGGGCUAAUACCGCAUAACAUCUUCGGGAUGAAAAGCUGAAGAUCAAAGGAGCAAUUCGCUUAAGGAGGGGGUCGCGGCUGAUUAGCUGGUUGGUGGGGUAACGGCCCACCAAGGCGAAGAUCGGUAGCCGGCCUGAGAGGGCGCACGGCCACACUGGAACUGAAACACGGUCCAGACUCCUACGGGAGGCAGCAGUGGGGAAUUUUGCGCAAUGGGGGAAACCCUGACGCAGCAACGCCGCGUGGAGGAUGAAGCCCUUUGGGGCGUAAACUCCUUUCGACCGGGACGAUUAUGACGGUACCGGUGGAAGAAGCACCGGCUAACUCUGUG